GCUUUCUUGGCUCAGUUGGCAGAGCAUCCGCCUAGUAAGCGGAAGGUCGUGAGUUCAAUUCUCACAGAAAGCA
Non-coding RNA from Paraphysoderma sedebokerense, 73 nucleotides. Lineage: Eukaryota; Fungi; Blastocladiomycota; Physodermatomycetes; Physodermatales; Physodermataceae. The record is from the annotation of a GenBank genome assembly.